GUGCUAUCAACCUAUCUCCCUCUUAAAUGCAGACAUUAAGCUAUUCACAAAAGCACUCACAUUAUGCCUCAGUUGGGUGAUUCCAGGCCUUAUCCACAAGGACCAGGUGGGGUUUGUGACAGGUAGAGAGGCAAGGGACAAUACCAUUCAGGCCCUCAACAUCAUACAUGGGCACAGAGUAGCGAAAAGGGCCACCACCUCCUCUUAACGGACGCAGAAAAGCGCUUCAACUGGAUGGACUGGCAGUUCAUAUCACACUCCAACACAUGGUUCUCGGUCCAAACAUCAGAGCAUGGAUAGUGUCCCUAUACACGAUCCCCACCGCCCAGAUAUGAGUGAACGGUGCACUGUCCCAACUGUUGAUCAGAAACGGCACCAGGCAAGGGUGCCCCCUGUCCCCCUCCUGUUUGCCCUCGCUCUCAAACCUAUAUUUAGAGGCAGUCAGAUGGGAUGGGGGAAU
Molecule: non-coding RNA, 460 nt
Organism: Pelobates cultripes (western spadefoot toad)
Lineage: Eukaryota; Metazoa; Chordata; Amphibia; Anura; Pelobatidae
Source: the annotation of a GenBank genome assembly